AGAGUUUGAUCCUGGCUCAGAAUCAACGCUGGCGGCGCGCUUAACACAUGCAAGUCGCACGAGAAAGGGAGCAAUCCCAAGUACAGUGGCGUACGGGUGAGUAACACGUGGAUCAUCUACCUCUGGGUGGGGAAUACCCCCGGGAAACUGGGGACAAUUCCGCAUACGCUCGCAAGAGGAAAGCCGAAAGGCGCCCGGAG
Molecule: ribosomal RNA, 200 nt
Filed under: uncultured bacterium
Lineage: Bacteria
Description: partial 16S ribosomal RNA
Rfam family: Bacterial small subunit ribosomal RNA
Source: RNAcentral